ACGGUUCGGGUAGUGUAAUAUGGCGUGUUCGUUUUAUUUUUUGACUACUUUUUCGGUCGUACUUCGAUCAACCUAAGCCUUUUAAUCUGACAUUUUUUAUUUCAAAAUCUGUGUUGUUUUCUGGAAGUUUAUUUCGCACUGAUCAUUUUUGUGCAUUCAGUUUCAUUUUUCGAGCAUUUUUUCACUUGAUUUUUAUUCAUUUUGAGUCCUUUUAUUUUUAUUUCUUUGUCAAAAUGUUCGUAAUCAUUAAUUAUAUUUUUUUAUGUUUUUG
RNAcentral lists this long non-coding RNA (271 nucleotides) under Lathyrus oleraceus (garden pea). RNAcentral describes it as "Pisum sativum (pea) long non-coding RNA (PSAT_LNC015660)". Lineage: Eukaryota; Viridiplantae; Streptophyta; Magnoliopsida; Fabales; Fabaceae. The record is from RNAcentral.